Molecule: ribosomal RNA, 789 nt
Filed under: uncultured Pseudomonadota bacterium
Lineage: Bacteria; Pseudomonadati; Pseudomonadota
Description: bacterial SSU rRNA
Rfam family: Bacterial small subunit ribosomal RNA
Source: RNAcentral
AGAGUUUGAUCAUGGCUCAGAACGAACGCUGGCGGCAUGCCUAACACAUGCAAGUCGAACGAGACCUUCGGGUCUAGUGGCGCACGGGUGCGUAACGCGUGGGAAUCUGCCCUUGGGUUCGGGAUAACAGUUGGAAACGACUGCUAAUACCGGAUGAUGACUUCGGUCCAAAGAUUUAUCGCCCAGGGAUGAGCCCGCGUAGGAUUAGCUAGUUGGUGAGGUAAAGGCUCACCAAGGCGACGAUCCUUAGCUGGUCUGAGAGGAUGAUCAGCCACACUGGGACUGAGACACGGCCCAGACUCCUACGGGAGGCAGCAGUGGGGAAUAUUGGACAAUGGGCGAAAGCUGAUCCAGCAAUGCCGCGUGAGUGAUGAAGGCCUUAGGGUUGUAAAACUCUUUUACCCGGGAAGAUAAUGACUGUACCGGGAGAAUAAGCCCCGGCUAACUCCGUGCCAGCAGCCGCGGUAAUACGGAGGGGGCUAGCGUUUUUCGGAAUUACUGGGCGUAAAGCGCGCGUAGGCGGCUUUGUAAGUUAAGGUGAAAGCCCGGAGCUCAACUCCGGAACUGCCUUUAAGACUGCAUCGCUAGAAUCAUGGAGAGGUGAGUGGAAUUCCGAGUGUAGAGGUGAAAUUCGUAGAUAUUCGGAAGAACACCAGUGGCGAAGGCGACUCACUGGACAUGUAUUGACGCUGAGGUGCGAAACGUGGGGGAGCAAACAGGAUUAGAUACCCUGGUAGUCCACGCCGUAAACGAUGAUAACUAGCUGUCGGGGCUCAUGGAGCUUCGGUG